AACAAAUUGAGACCAACCCAAAUACUUGGUCGGUCCAAAAUCUACAGUUUGGGGUUUUGUAGAAACCAUCUACAUCUUUGUCUCAGUUGCCUCUGGUUGGUGCCUCCAUGUCUUUCUCUGCUGAGCUUGCAGCUAAGAUCUCUUGAGUCAGGCGCCUCGAUGUCGAUGAUGCAAUUCUCAGAUCCAAAACACUGGCGAUCCUAAAGGUCGCAAUAACUCGGAGGUUUUAGCGUUAAAGGGAUUGAUGGUGUUGACUUCAUGAUAUCUGGGCGUAAGGCUCCCAGAAAAUUCAAAGCAGACUGUGGUUGGGGCUGGUUGGUAUGCGGCUCAACCUCCCCCGAUGGAGGCUGUCCGACCGGCAUGGCAGCCAUGCCACCGGAAGCUAUAGUUGAAGGUC
This is a long non-coding RNA of Solanum stenotomum, 397 nucleotides long. RefSeq lists it as uncharacterized. The record is from RefSeq and is a predicted model, not a curated record. The transcript is spliced from 3 exons. Lineage: Eukaryota; Viridiplantae; Streptophyta; Magnoliopsida; Solanales; Solanaceae.